Molecule: long non-coding RNA, 209 nt
Filed under: Elaeis guineensis (African oil palm)
Lineage: Eukaryota; Viridiplantae; Streptophyta; Magnoliopsida; Arecales; Arecaceae
Description: long non-coding RNA (EGUI_LNC021137)
Source: RNAcentral
UGUAAGCUUCUUUUGAUCUUUAAUGAAGUCACAGUUAUAGACUUAAACCUUUUUCCUUGUGUUGUAGAAUGCAUCCGAAUACGUAAGUCGCCAACCCAUAUAGGUCGGUUAGGUCGUUCGGCAACUCAUGCCGUCACGAAGGUGGGACAUGUCCUGACUUUGGCUCGGCCUUCAAUGGUCGAGGUCGUAAGUCUGGCGUCCUUUCCCCG